Molecule: ribosomal RNA, 484 nt
Filed under: uncultured bacterium
Lineage: Bacteria
Description: partial 16S ribosomal RNA
Rfam family: Bacterial small subunit ribosomal RNA
Source: RNAcentral
AUUGAACGCUGGCGGCAUGCCUUACACAUGCAAGUCGAACGGCAGCACGGGAGCAAUCCUGGUGGCGAGUGGCGAACGGGUGAGUAAUACAUCGGAACGUGCCCAAUCGUGGGGGAUAACGCAGCGAAAGCUGUGCUAAUACCGCAUACGAUCUACGGAUGAAAGCAGGGGACCGCAAGGCCUUGCGCGAAUGGAGCGGCCGAUGGCAGAUUAGGUAGUUGGUGGGGUAAAGGCUCACCAAGCCAACGAUCUGUAGCUGGUCUGCGAGGACGACAAGCCACACUGGGACUGAGACACGGCCCAGACUCCUACGGGAGGGCGCAGUGGGGAAUUUUGGACAAUGGGCGCAAGCCUGAUCCAGCCAUGCCGCGUGCAGGAUGGAGGCCUUCGGGUUGUAAACUGCUUUUGUACGGAACGAAACGGCCUUUUCUAAUAAAGAGGGCUAAUGACGGUACCGUAAGAAUAAGCACCGGCUAACUACGUG